Molecule: small RNA, 184 nt
Filed under: Oryza sativa Japonica Group (Japanese rice)
Lineage: Eukaryota; Viridiplantae; Streptophyta; Magnoliopsida; Poales; Poaceae
Description: misc RNA OsRcaII
Source: RNAcentral
UUACACCUUUUAAGCAGGCCGGCUUGACGCUUGCUAUUAAUUAUUUCUCCUUUUUAUGUUUUCUCUUUGUUCUGUGUAUCAGAUCGCGCCCAAGCCAUAGCUGGGCAUGACAAGUUUUUGUUAAUAAUAAUAUAAUAUAAAGAUAUGGGCUAUACUAUACAUGAGUAUAUUUCAUUUGGGUAUC